RNAcentral lists this ribosomal RNA (506 nucleotides) under uncultured bacterium. RNAcentral describes it as "partial 16S ribosomal RNA". It matches the Rfam family "Bacterial small subunit ribosomal RNA", at positions 29 to 523 of the family's 1533-position model. The record is from RNAcentral.
AGUGAACGCUGGCGGUAGGCCUAACACAUGCAAGUCGAACGGCAGCACAGGAGAGCUUGCUCUCUGGGUGGCGAGUGGCGGACGGGUGAGGAAUACAUCGGAAUCUACUCUGUCGUGGGGGAUAACGUAGGGGGACUAACGCUAAUACGGCAUACGACCUACGGGUGAAAGCAGGGGACCUUCGGGUCUUGCGCGUUUGAUUGGGCCGUUGUCGGAUUGGCUAGUUGGCGGGGUAAAGGCCCACCAAGGAGACGUGCCGUAGCUGGUCUGAGAGGAUGAUCAGCCACACUGGAACGGAGACACGGUCCAGACUCCUACGGGAGGCAGCAGUGGGGAAUAUUGGACAAUGGGCGCAAGCACGAUCCAGCCAUACCGCGUGGGUGAAGAAGGCCUUCGGGUUGUAAAGCCCUUUUGUUGGGAAAGAAAUCCAGCUGGCUAAUACCCGGUUGGGAUGACGGUACCCAAAGAAUAAGCACCGGCUAACUUCGUGCCAGCAGCCGCCGUAA